CGGAGGGUGCGAGCGUUGUCCGGAAUCACUGGGCGUAAAGGGCGCGUAGGUGGCUUGGCAAGCGUGUGGUGAAAGCCCGGGGCUUAACCCCGGGUCUGCCGUGCGAACUACCAAGCUAGAGUACUGUAGAGGCAGGUUGAAUUCCGGGUGUAGCGGUGGAAUGCGUAGAGAUCCGGAAGAAUACCGGUGGCGAAGGCGGCCUGCUGGGCAGUUACUGACACUGAGGCGCGACAGCGUGGGGAGCAAACAGGAUUAGAUACCCUGGUAGUCCACGCCGUAAACGAUGGGCACUAGAUGCUUGGGGGAGCGACCCUCUGAGUGUCGUCGCUAACGCAGUAAGUGCCCCGCCUGGGGAGUACGGCCGCAAGGCUG
RNAcentral lists this ribosomal RNA (372 nucleotides) under uncultured organism. RNAcentral's name for it is "bacterial SSU rRNA". It matches the Rfam family "Bacterial small subunit ribosomal RNA", at positions 526 to 896 of the family's 1533-position model. The record is from RNAcentral.